RNAcentral lists this ribosomal RNA (1555 nucleotides) under Salinivibrio kushneri. RNAcentral describes it as "bacterial SSU rRNA". It matches the Rfam family "Bacterial small subunit ribosomal RNA". Lineage: Bacteria; Pseudomonadati; Pseudomonadota; Gammaproteobacteria; Vibrionales; Vibrionaceae. The record is from RNAcentral.
AAAUUGAAGAGUUUGAUCAUGGCUCAGAUUGAACGCUGGCGGCAGGCCUAACACAUGCAAGUCGAGCGGAAACGGCAGCAUUGAAGCUUCGGUGGAUUUGCUGGACGUCGAGCGGCGGACGGGUGAGUAACGGCUGGGAACCUGCCCUGACGAGGGGGAUAACCGUUGGAAACGACGGCUAAUACCGCAUAAUGUCUUCGGACCAAAGGUGGCCUCUACAUGUAAGCUAUCGCGUUGGGAUGGGCCCAGUUAGGAUUAGCUAGUUGGUAAGGUAAUGGCUUACCAAGGCAACGAUCCUUAGCUGGUUUGAGAGGAUGAUCAGCCACACUGGGACUGAGACACGGCCCAGACUCCUACGGGAGGCAGCAGUGGGGAAUAUUGCACAAUGGGGGAGAUCCUGAUGCAGCCAUGCCGCGUGUGUGAAGAAGGCCUUCGGGUUGUAAAGCACUUUCAGCAGUGAGGAAGGUAAUGUACUUAAUACGUGCAUUGCUUGACGUUAGCUGCAGAAGAAGCACCGGCUAACUCCGUGCCAGCAGCCGCGGUAAUACGGAGGGUGCGAGCGUUAAUCGGAAUUACUGGGCGUAAAGCGCAUGCAGGCGGUUUGUUAAGUCAGAUGUGAAAGCCCGGGGCUCAACCUCGGAACCGCAUUUGAAACUGGCAGGCUAGAGUCUUGUAGAGGGGGGUAGAAUUUCAGGUGUAGCGGUGAAAUGCGUAGAGAUCUGAAGGAAUACCAGUGGCGAAGGCGGCCCCCUGGACAAAGACUGACGCUCAGAUGCGAAAGCGUGGGUAGCAAACAGGAUUAGAUACCCUGGUAGUCCACGCCGUAAACGCUGUCUACUUGGAGGUUGAGGUUUAAGACUUUGGCUUUCGGCGCUAACGUAUUAAGUAGACCGCCUGGGGAGUACGGCCGCAAGGUUAAAACUCAAAUGAAUUGACGGGGGCCCGCACAAGCGGUGGAGCAUGUGGUUUAAUUCGAUGCAACGCGAAGAACCUUACCUACUCUUGACAUCCAGCGAAUCCUUUAGAGAUAGAGGAGUGCCUUCGGGAGCGCUGAGACAGGUGCUGCAUGGCUGUCGUCAGCUCGUGUUGUGAAAUGUUGGGUUAAGUCCCGCAACGAGCGCAACCCUUAUCCUUGUUUGCCAGCACAUAAUGGUGGGAACUCCAGGGAGACUGCCGGUGAUAAACCGGAGGAAGGUGGGGACGACGUCAAGUCAUCAUGGCCCUUACGAGUAGGGCUACACACGUGCUACAAUGGCAGAUACAGAGGGCAGCGAAGCUGCGAAGUGGAGCGAAUCCCUUAAAGUCUGUCGUAGUCCGGAUUGGAGUCUGCAACUCGACUCCAUGAAGUCGGAAUCGCUAGUAAUCGUGGAUCAGAAUGCCACGGUGAAUACGUUCCCGGGCCUUGUACACACCGCCCGUCACACCAUGGGAGUGGGCUGCACCAGAAGUAGAUAGCUUAACCUUCGGGAGGGCGUUUACCACGGUGUGGUUCAUGACUGGGGUGAAGUCGUAACAAGGUAGCCCUAGGGGAACCUGGGGCUGGAUCACCUCCUUA